CCAGACUUCUACGGGAGGCAGCAGUGGGGAAUAUUGCACAAUGGGGGAAACCCUGAUGCAGCGACGCCGCGUGAGUGAAGAAGUAUCUCGGUAUGUAAAGCUCUAUCAGCAGGGAAGAAAAUGACGGUACCUGACUAAGAAGCCCCGGCUAACUACGUGCCAGCAGCCGCGGUAAUACGUAGGGGGCAAGCGUUAUCCGGAUUUACUGGGUGUAAAGGGUGCGUAGGUGGCAGGGCAAGUCAGAUGUGAAAGCCCGGGGCCCAACCCCGGUACUGCAUUUGAAACUGUCCGGCUGGAGUGCAGGAGAGGUAAGCGGAAUUCCUAGUGUAGCGGUGAAAUGCGUAGAUAUUAGGAGGAACACCAGUGGCGAAGGCGGCUUACUGGACUGUAACUGACACUGAGGCACGAAAGCGUGGGGAGCAAACAGGAUUAGAUACCCCCGUA
This 444-nucleotide ribosomal RNA is filed under the name uncultured bacterium. Its description in RNAcentral is "bacterial SSU rRNA". It matches the Rfam family "Bacterial small subunit ribosomal RNA", at positions 331 to 792 of the family's 1533-position model. The record is from RNAcentral.